Molecule: ribosomal RNA, 451 nt
Filed under: uncultured bacterium
Lineage: Bacteria
Description: partial 16S ribosomal RNA
Rfam family: Bacterial small subunit ribosomal RNA
Source: RNAcentral
GUGGGGAAUAUUGGACAAUGGGGGGAACCCUGAUCCAGCCAUGCCGCGUGUGUGAAGAAGGCCUUUUGGUUGUAAAGCACUUUAAGCGAGGAGGAGGCUACCGAGAUUAAUACUCUUGGAUAGUGGACGUUACUCGCAGAAUAAGCACCGGCUAACUUUGUGCCAGCAGCCGCGGUAAUACAGAGGGUGCAAGCGUUAAUCGGAUUUACUGGGCGUAAAGCGCGCGUAGGUGGCCAAUUAAGUCAAAUGUGAAAUCCCCGAGCUUAACUUGGGAAUUGCAUUCGAUACUUGUUGGGUAGAGUAUGGGAGAGGAUGGUAGAAUUCCAGGUGUAGCGGUGAAAUGCGUAGAGAUCUGGAGGAAUACCGAUGGCGAAGGCAGCCAUCUGGCCUAAUACUGACACUGAGGUGCGAAAGCAUGGGGAGCAAACAGGAUUAGAUACCCGGGUAGUCC